GAAGGUAUAGCUCAACUGGUAGAGCGUAUGCUUAACAUACUUCGGGGUCCUGGGUUCAAUGCCCAGUACCUCCU
RNAcentral lists this transfer RNA (74 nucleotides) under Camelus bactrianus (Bactrian camel). It matches the Rfam family "tRNA". From Rfam's summary of the family: Transfer RNA (tRNA) molecules are approximately 80 nucleotides in length. Their secondary structure includes four short double-helical elements and three loops (D, anti-codon, and T loops). Further hydrogen bonds mediate the characteristic L-shaped molecular structure. tRNAs have two regions of fundamental functional importance: the anti-codon, which is responsible for specific mRNA codon recognition, and the 3' end, to which the tRNAs corresponding amino acid is attached (by aminoacyl-tRNA synthetases). tRNAs cope with the degeneracy of the genetic code in two manners: having more than one tRNA (with a specific anti-codon) for a particular amino acid; and 'wobble' base-pairing, i.e. permitting non-standard base-pairing at the 3rd anti-codon position. RNAcentral also lists the same sequence under 2 other names. Lineage: Eukaryota; Metazoa; Chordata; Mammalia; Artiodactyla; Camelidae. The record is from Rfam by way of RNAcentral.